UGCAGUCGAGCGAACUGAUUAAAGCUUGCUUCUAUGACGUUAGCGGCGGACGGGUGAGUAACACGUGGGCAACCUGCCUGUAAGACUGGGAUAACUCCGGGAAACCGGAGCUAAUACCGGAUAACAUUUUCUCUUGCAUAAGAGAAAAUUGAAAGAUGGUUUCGGCUAUCACUUACAGAUGGGCCCGCGGUGCAUUAGCUAGUUGGUGAGGUAACGGCUCACCAAGGCAACGAUGCAUAGCCGACCUGAGAGGGUGAUCGGCCACACUGGGACUGAGACACGGCCCAGACUCCUACGGGAGGCAGCAGUAGGGAAUCUUCCGCAAUGGACGAAAGUCUGACGGAGCAACGCCGCGUGAGUGAUGAAGGCUUUCGGGUCGUAAAACUCUGUUGUUAGGGAAGAACAAGUACAAGAGUAACUGCUUGUACCUUGACGGUACCUAACCAGAAAGCCACGGCUAACUACGUGCCAGCAGCCGCGGUAAUACGUAGGUGGCAAGCGUUAUCCGGAAUUAUUGGGCGUAAAGCGCGCGCAGGCGGUUUCUUAAGUCUGAUGUGAAAGCCCACGGCUCAACCGUGGAGGGUCAUUGGAAACUGGGGAACUUGAGUGCAGAAGAGAAAAGCGGAAUUCCACGUGUAGCGGUGAAAUGCGUAGAGAUGUGGAGGAACACCAGUGGCGAAAGCGGCUUUUUGGUCUGUAACUGACGCUGAGGCGCGAAAGCGUGAGGAGCAAACAGGAUUAGAUACCCUGG
RNAcentral lists this ribosomal RNA (751 nucleotides) under Priestia flexa. Its description in RNAcentral is "bacterial SSU rRNA". It matches the Rfam family "Bacterial small subunit ribosomal RNA", at positions 56 to 790 of the family's 1533-position model. The record is from RNAcentral. Lineage: Bacteria; Bacillati; Bacillota; Bacilli; Caryophanales; Bacillaceae.